Molecule: ribosomal RNA, 468 nt
Filed under: uncultured bacterium
Lineage: Bacteria
Description: partial 16S ribosomal RNA
Rfam family: Bacterial small subunit ribosomal RNA
Source: RNAcentral
GACGAACGCUGGCGGCGUGCUUAACACAUGCAAGUCGAACGGAAAGGCCCUGCUUUUGUGGGGUGCUCGAGUGGCGAACGGGUGAGUAACACGUGAGUAGCCUGCCCUUGACUUUGGGAUAACUUCAGGAAACUGGGGCUAAUACCGGAUAGGAGCUCCUGCUGCAUGGUGGGGGUUGGAAAGUUUCGGCGGUUGGGGAUGGACUCGCGGCUUAUCAGCUUGUUGGUGGGGUAGUGGCUUACCAAGGCUGUGACGGGUAGCCGGCCUGAGAGGGUGACCGGCCACAUUGGGACUGAGAUACGGCCCAGACUCCUACGGGAGGCAGCAGUGGGGAAUAUUGCACAAUGGGCGGAAGCCUGAUGCAGCAACGCCGCGUGCGGGAUGACGGCCUUCGGGUUGUAAACCGCUUUCGCCUGUGACGAAGCGUGAGUGACGGUAAUGGGUAAAGAAGCACCGGCUAACUACGUG